UAUCCUACGGGGCGCAGCAGUGGGGAAUAUUGGACAAUGGGGGAAACCCUGAUGCAGCGACGCCGCGUGUGGGAAGACGGUCCUCUGGAUUGUAAACCACUGUCCCCAGGGACGAAAAUGACGGUACCUGACCAAGAAGCCCCGGCUAACUACGUGCCAGCAGCCGCGGUAAUACGUAGGGGGCAAGCGUUAUCCGGAUUUACUGGGUGUAAAGGGAGCGUAGACGGCCAUGCAAGUCUGAUGUGAAAACCCGGGGCUCAACCCCGGGACUGCAUUGGAAACUGUGCGGCUGGAGUGUCGGAGAG
This 305-nucleotide ribosomal RNA is filed under the name uncultured bacterium. RNAcentral describes it as "bacterial SSU rRNA". It matches the Rfam family "Bacterial small subunit ribosomal RNA", at positions 335 to 656 of the family's 1533-position model. The record is from RNAcentral.